ACGAACGCUGGCGGCGUGGAUAAGACAUGCAAGUCGAACGGGAUGCUGUAAGUAGCAAUACGAGCAGUGUCUAGUGGCGAACGGGUGCGUAACACGUGGAUACAUUCCGGGAAGCGGGGGAUAGCCCAGGGAAACUUGGAUUAAUACCGCAUGUGAUCGAGAGAUCAAAGACGGGGACCGCAAGGCCUGUCACUUCCCGAUUGGUCCGCGGCCUAUCAGCUAGUUGGCGGGGUAAAAGCCCACCAAGGCUACGACGGGUAGCUGGUCUUAGAGGACGACCAGCCACACUGGAACUGAGACACGGUCCAGACACCUACGGGUGGCAGCAGUCGAGAAUCUUUCACAAUGGGGGCAACCCUGAUGGAGCGACGCCGCGUGGAGGAUAAGGUCUUCGGAUUGUAAACUCCUGUCAUGCGAGAACAAGGUUGCAGGGAUAAUACCUUUGCAAAUUGAUGGUACCGCAAGAGGAAGAGACGGCUAACUCUGUGCCAGCAGCCGCGGUAAUACAGAGGUCUCAAGCGUUGUUCGGAAUCACUGGGCGUAAAGGGUGCGUAGGUGGCGUGGUAAGUCAGAUGUGAAAGCCCGGGGCUCAACCUCGGAAUUGCAUCCGAUACUACCAUGCUAGAGUACUGAAGAGGUGACUAGAAUUCUCGGUGUAGCAGUGAAAUGCGUAGAUAUCGAGAGGAAUACCAACGGCGAAGGCAGGUCACUGGGCAGUUACUGACACUGAGGCACGAAGGCUAGGGUAGCGAACGGGAUUAGAUACCCCGGUAGCCCUAGCAGUAAACGGUGCACGUUUGGUGUGGGCGCAAUCGACCGCGUCCGCGCCGGAGCUAACGCGUUAAACGUGCCGCCUGGGAAGUACGGUCGCAAGAUUAAAACUCAAAGAAUUGACGGGGACCCGCACAAGCGGUGGAGUAUGUGGCU
RNAcentral lists this ribosomal RNA (927 nucleotides) under uncultured bacterium. RNAcentral describes it as "bacterial SSU rRNA". It matches the Rfam family "Bacterial small subunit ribosomal RNA", at positions 29 to 946 of the family's 1533-position model. The record is from RNAcentral.